UGGGGGAUAUUGCACAAUGGGGGGAACCCUGAUGCAGCGACGCCGCGUGAGGGAAGACGGUCUUCGGAUUGUAAACCUCUGUCUUUAGGGACGAAAAAAUGACGGUACCUAAGGAGGAAGCCACGGCUAACUACGUGCCAGCAGCCGCGGUAAUACGUAGGUGGCAAGCGUUGUCCGGAAUUACUGGGUGUAAAGGGAGCGUAGGCGGGGAGACAAGUUGAAUGUUUAAACUAUCGGCUCAACUGAUAGUCGCGUUCAAAACUAUCACUCUUGAGUGCAGUAGAGGUAGGCGGAAUUCCUAGUGUAGCGGUGAAAUGCGUAGAUAUUAGGAGGAACACCAGUGGCGAAGGCGGCCUACUGGGCUGUAACUGACGCUGAGGCUCGAAAGCGUGGGUAGCAAACAGG
This 405-nucleotide ribosomal RNA is filed under the name uncultured Oscillospiraceae bacterium. RNAcentral's name for it is "bacterial SSU rRNA". It matches the Rfam family "Bacterial small subunit ribosomal RNA", at positions 355 to 776 of the family's 1533-position model. The record is from RNAcentral. Lineage: Bacteria; Bacillati; Bacillota; Clostridia; Eubacteriales; Oscillospiraceae.